GGCCUGGCCGCGGCCUGCGGGUGUAGGCGCCUCGGCGGCCACCGCGUCCCCAGGGGGCCUCGCGGACGGGGGCGCGGGGCUGCGGGGAGGAGGCGGGCGGGCCCCUCGGGCGACACCGCGGGGCGGGCGGCGGGAAGCCCGGACUCAGCGGUUUCCUGGGCAACCGGCCUCCUCCGGCGCGGCCCGCGCGGCUCCAGGUGGCGGGAGGCGGCGGUUGGCGGGAAGGGCCGCGCGGGCCCGGGGGCGGCGCCUCAGAUGCGCUCUUUCCAGAAAGGCAGCACACGCAUGUCUCUGCCGUGGCCCCAGAUCCUCCCCGCGCCGCCGUUUUGAGCGUUCACACUCAUUACCCAGGUCCGUCUGGGAGACCCGCCGGGCUCCCGCCCU
RNAcentral lists this long non-coding RNA (384 nucleotides) under Homo sapiens (human). RNAcentral describes it as "HSALNT0317611". The record is from RNAcentral. Lineage: Eukaryota; Metazoa; Chordata; Mammalia; Primates; Hominidae.